GCGGAGGAAAAGAAACCAACAGGGAUUGCCUUAGUAACGGCGAGUGAAGCGGCAACAGCUCAAAUUUGAAAGCUGGCCCUUUCAGGGUCCGCGUUGUAAUUUGUAGAGGAUGAUUCGGCGAGGGCUCCCGCCUAAGUCCCCUGGAACGGGGCGUCAUAGAGGGUGAGAAUCCCGUAUGCGGUGGGCUGCCUUAGCCAUGUGAAUCUCCUUCGACGAGUCGAGUUGUUUGGGAAUGCAGCUCUAAAUGGGAGGUAAAUUUCUUCUAAAGCUAAAUACCGGCCAGAGACCGAUAGCGCACAAGUAGAGUGAUCGAAAGAUGAAAAGCACUUUGGAAAGAGAGUUAAAAAGUACGUGAAAUUGUUGAAAGGGAAGCGCUUGCAACCAGACUUGUCCGCAGUUGCUCAGCCGGUCUCCUGACCGGCGUACUCUUCUGCGGCCAGGCCAGCAUCAGUUCGGGCGGUCGGAUAAAGACCUCGGGAAUGUGGCUCCUCUCGGGGAGUGUUAUAGCCCGGGGUGGAAUGCGGCCAGCCUGGACUGAGGAUCUCGCUUCGGCAAGGAUGCUGGCGUAAUGGUUGUAAGCGGCCCGUCUUGAAACACGGACCAAGGAGUCUAACAUCUAUGCGAGUGUUUGGGUGUCAAACCCAUACGCGUAAUGAAAGUGAACGGAGGUGGGAACCCGCAAGGGUGCACCAUCGGCCGAUCCUGAUGUCUUCGGAUGGAUUUGAGCAAGAGCAUAGCUGUUGGGACCCGAAAGAUGGUGAACUAUGCCUGAAUAGGGUGAAGCCAGAGGAAACUCUGGUGGAGGCUCGCAGCGGUUCUGACGUGCAAAUCGAUCGUCAAAUUUGGGUAUAGGGGCGAAAGACUAAUCGAACCAUUGACGAGUAGUUACCAGGGAGUUCUUACUCCUCGCUACUAGGUG
Molecule: small RNA, 919 nt
Filed under: Phaeobotryosphaeria sp. 1 NV-2015
Lineage: Eukaryota; Fungi; Ascomycota; Dothideomycetes; Botryosphaeriales; Botryosphaeriaceae
Description: eukaryotic LSU rRNA
Rfam family: Eukaryotic large subunit ribosomal RNA
Source: RNAcentral